CAACACAGCAUGCCGCUUUGAGCCACGAAACUCCCACUGCGGCCCUGCUAUCCGAUUCCUGCAAUGUCAUCUCCACUGACCCCCGUCUUAAGGAUUUUCUCGCCGAGUUUUUUAUUCUGGAGGAGACGCAAAAAGAUAACAUGCUCAUUCCUGCACACGCUGUUCAGGAAAACAACAACAACAACGGGCCAGCGGAAUACCAUUGGCGAAUGGAAUUGUUCCAAUUGUCGACUCGAUUACCUUCUUAUCAGGCUGCCAAAAAAUAAGCACUUUGAUUUCCAUUUCCAUAGGAAGCAGGCAAAGAAGAAAAGAUUUGGCCGUCAUUGCGACAAAGGAGAAGACUGCUGCGAGCGCGCGGAGGAGCAGCUGCCACUCCAGGGACAGUGACGCGUCUUUUGGCCCAGUCGAUCGCUUCAGGAACGUUCCCACGUUUGCGCCUAAGCUCCAACCUUUUUCAGGGUUCCUUGAUCGAUGCGUCCUCAUCAAUUCCCAAGUGCUUGAAGGGAGCGCUUGGAAACGGGAAAUGUCAGUAAACCAAAAUAGAAAUGAAAUCUGUCCCGUUUUCAAUGGUGCUGUGGGACCACGGUUGCCUCGAAAAGUUGCCUCGACCAGCCCAUGAAGUACCCGCAGCCAGAUACUGGGCUCAUCCAUAUCCGUCUGAAAGCACCGACACCAUUGGAUGACGUAAGGAAUGUCAGAGCUCGGGUGGGUACAACAGUCGCCCCCAGCAGGAGCCAACACCUCGCCAUCUGGGAGAGUGUCCGUCCCCAUUCCUCUGGAGAUUCAGCUGACGGAAAAUUCAUCGGCAGUGUGCUCGAACAAGGACGUAACAUGAAAAGUGGAGGAGGAAGACUUUGUGGACAACGCGGGACUAACAGACGACCCUGGAAGCUA
Molecule: long non-coding RNA, 894 nt
Organism: Hippocampus comes (tiger tail seahorse)
Lineage: Eukaryota; Metazoa; Chordata; Actinopteri; Syngnathiformes; Syngnathidae
Exons: 5
Source: RefSeq, a predicted model, not a curated record